GCCUGAAUUCUUGAGAUAUCUCAGUUGAUAGAGCAUGAGACUCUUAAUCUCAGAGUCAUGAGUUGAAGCCCCACGUUGGGCA
Molecule: non-coding RNA, 82 nt
Organism: Podarcis lilfordi (Lilford's wall lizard)
Lineage: Eukaryota; Metazoa; Chordata; Lepidosauria; Squamata; Lacertidae
Source: the annotation of a GenBank genome assembly